UGAGGAAUAUUGCGCAAUGGGGGCAACCCUGACGCAGCGACGCCGCGUGGAUGAUGAAGGCCUUCGGGUCGUAAAAUCCUGUCAGAUGGAAAGAAGUGUAUAUGUGUUAACAGCGCAUAUAUUUGACGAUACC
This 133-nucleotide ribosomal RNA is filed under the name uncultured bacterium. Its description in RNAcentral is "partial 16S ribosomal RNA". It matches the Rfam family "Bacterial small subunit ribosomal RNA", at positions 355 to 479 of the family's 1533-position model. The record is from RNAcentral.